CCUACGGGAGGCAGCAGUGGGGAAUUUUGGACAAUGGGCGAAAGCCUGAUCCAGCAAUGCCGCGUGAGUGAAGAAGGCCUUCGGGUUGUAAAGCUCUUUUGUCAGGGAAGAAACGGUGAGGGCUAAUAUCCCUUGCUAAUGACGGUACCUGAAGAAUAAGCACCGGCUAACUACGUGCCAGCAGCCGCGGUAAUACGUAGGGUGCAAGCGUUAAUCGGAAUUACUGGGCGUAAAGCGUGCGCAGGCGGUUUUGUAAGUCUGUCGUGAAAUCCCCGGGCUCAACCUGGGAAUUGCGAUGGAGACUGCAAGGCUAGAAUCUGGCAGAGGGGGGUAGAAUUCCACGUGUAGCAGUGAAAUGCGUAGAGAUGUGGAGGAACACCGAUGGCGAAGGCAGCCCCCUGGGUCAAGAUUGACGCUCAUGCACGAAAGCGUGGGGAGCAAACAGGAUUAGAUACCCUGGUAGUCCACGCCCUAAACGAUGUCUACUAGUUGUCGGGUUUUAAUUAACUUGGUAACGCAGCUAACGCGUGAAGUAGACCGCCUGGGGAGUACGGUCGCAAGAUUAAAACUUAAGGAAUUGACGG
Molecule: ribosomal RNA, 584 nt
Filed under: uncultured bacterium
Lineage: Bacteria
Description: bacterial SSU rRNA
Rfam family: Bacterial small subunit ribosomal RNA
Source: RNAcentral